GACACUUUGGCCGAGUGGUUAAGGCGGUGCCCUGCUACUAGCGUAUGCGAGGCAUUACAUUCGUGUGCGUAGGUUCGAAUCCUGCAGGUGUCG
This 93-nucleotide transfer RNA is filed under the name Ustilaginoidea virens. It matches the Rfam family "tRNA". From Rfam's summary of the family: Transfer RNA (tRNA) molecules are approximately 80 nucleotides in length. Their secondary structure includes four short double-helical elements and three loops (D, anti-codon, and T loops). Lineage: Eukaryota; Fungi; Ascomycota; Sordariomycetes; Hypocreales; Clavicipitaceae. The record is from Rfam by way of RNAcentral.